GCAACUCGAGGCUCGAAGCCACCACCGCGUGCCUCCAGCCCCUGUCGCAGCAGCAGCCCGCGAGCUUUCCCUGCUGCACCUCCACCCUUCGAUCGAUCGUGCCUCCGCUGCAGCCCGUCCUUGCAACUCCACAGCCGCGAGCGUCGCUUCGCCCGCGCCUCAGCCGCCUUGCAGCAGAUCCCGAGUCUCUUCUGCCGCGCCUGCCUCACCGCCUGCUCAACCCAGCACUCGAUGCGCCGACGCGGCUCGGAGUCGAAGACCAGCGAACGACGUCCUUGCUAGCCUCACCUGCAACCCGGGAGACUGGCGAAGCCGUGGCUGCCCCUACUCUGUUCCGGGCUCCCCUGUUGCCCGAUCUCUUCGCCGCUGGUCUCUGCGCCUCUUCGGAGCUCCGAACCUGUGAGCCCCUUUCGCCGGCCACCUCGCCAUAGAAGCUAGUCCCGUUUGCCGUCGCUGCUCCCGCUUGCACUCGCGCGCCUCCGUUUCUGCUCCGACGACCCGGCGUUACUCCUGCCCUGUUCGUUGCUGCCGAGUCCCGAGCGACCCACCAUCGCCAGCUGCUGCCCCUUUCCGAGUAUCUCCGCCUUGCUCGCUGCUGGUCCGUCCGCCGCCGGUCCUCACGGAGCUCCGGUGACCCACCAAGCCGUCGUUCGUUAACCCUAGUUUAGGAGCUAAAAUCCCAAUUAGGUAGAUUUCUUAUUUUUAUUUUAUUCUUUCGUUAUUAUUAUCAUCAUUUAUUUUGUUUCCUUAUUUGAGAUAUUUCCCUAUGCAUAAUUGAAAAUCCUAAUAUAUCGCAUGAUUCGCAAUCGCGUCAUGAUUUUUUAUUUCAUUUAUAAGGCUUUAGAUGAAAUAAUUAAUCAAAUGGGAAUAAAAUUGAUAUUUUGAUCUUUAAGGCUUAAGAUCAAUUUAUCGAUUUUACUAGCGAAAUAUUAUCCUUUGAGCCGAACGAUAUGUAAUUUUUUUUGAUGAUUUUGAAUGGCUUGUCUUGUCUUGAUUGCUUCAUUUUGAAAUAUGUUUGAGUUAGAAUAUUGCAUGAUUUAGGCCUAUUUGCAUGUUUAGAUUAAGCAUUUUGUUUAUCAUGAAUUUUCGAAAUAAAAAAUGAAUCUAAAAAAAUGAAUCUAGGAUGUUAGAUUUUUGUUAGCUUAAAUUGCAUGUUUAAUUAUUUGACAUUUUAAAUUAAUUAAAAAAACAAAAACAAAAAUCAUCACGCACAUGUCAUGUUGAAUUAGGGCAUCAUUUGCACGUCAUUGCACAUUAGAAUAAAAUUGCAUAUUUCAUUUUAAGUUUAGAUAACUUUUUAGAUAGAUUGCUUUUUAGUUAGGGAUUUCUAAGUUAGGGUAACAUCCUAGUUUGAAUUAGGAUUUGACUUAACUUCAUUCCUGAUACAGAUUAGAGGAUAUCUUAAUCUAGCUAGAUGAUUUUCACAUCUUUUUAAUUCCGAAUUACAUAAAAAAAUACAAAAAAAAUGUCUUAGAAUAAAUUAGUUUUAUUAUUUAGGAUGAAAUGUAUUCUUUUAGGAAAAAGAAAAAAUGUCAUAUGCACGUCAUUAGGGUUAGAUUCACUGAGAUGCAUGUUAUUUAGUAUUUUUGCUAGGCCCUUACCUAUCAUUAGAAUUAGAUCAUUUAUUUAUAUUGCAUUGCAUAUUGCAUGAUUUUCAUUAAAUAAGUGAAAAAGAAAAAACAAACAAUUGUGUGUUAAUUAGAAAUCAUAUCUAGGGUUGUUGAUGUGAAUUCUGAUCUAACAUUGCAGAUGCUUUUGUUGCUUCGAUGUAAGUUCUGUAAUUUAUUCAUCGCUUUCUUGGGUGUUAAAUUGGUGGUUUGCGCAUCCGCAUGAUCACAUCACAUGUUAUGGAAAUAGAUUUAAAAUCAAUUCAAGCUGCUUGCCAAACAUUUUCCAAAAUAAAAGAUAAAGGUACCGAAAGGGCAUUAGAGAAAUCUAGCGUAAAGUAAAACUCAUGUUACUUUACUUGGGUUUCUAAUCGACCCACCAAAAAUAGAUUAGUGACGACUCAUAAUUUAAAAAAAAAUUGCAUGCUAAGAUCUGAACCUAAGUCGCGAGUUGGUAUGGGCUUGGGAGAGCCUGAGUUAAGUCUAGGCUUAACAAUCCAUUAGCCAAAUCCUGGGUGGUUCACAUCACCCAAAAAUUAGGUCGCGACACUUACAUUUUAGAGUAAUCUAUUUGAAAGAUCAAUCUCAUAUUAGCUUCAUAUUUGACAAACAAAUAAUAUUAAAAUCAUAUUUAGAGUAACAUUACAUGAUCAACAACAUAUUGAACAAUUAUGGCAAACAAAUAAUAUUAAAAUGACCCGGGCCUUUACUUAUUGUAUUUAUAUUUACGCACUUCGGCCGGCAGCAUUUCUUGUUUCUUGGUCAAUCUAGAUUCAUGUAUUUUAAAUCCCAUUGCUCGCAUGAUUUUUCUUGCCGUCAACUCCAAGAACCUUCAAAAUUGAGCGAGUGGCUCAUUCUAGAUUUCAUUUGCAGAACCCAAGCUCAAUCCCGUGCCUUGACUCGGUCGUCAAUUGUCUGAGAAGAAUCAAAGCGGGUGAGUCCAAAGUCGAUUAAUGUUCC
This 2567-nucleotide long non-coding RNA is filed under the name Eucalyptus grandis. Its description in RNAcentral is "long non-coding RNA (EGRA_LNC006506)". Lineage: Eukaryota; Viridiplantae; Streptophyta; Magnoliopsida; Myrtales; Myrtaceae. The record is from RNAcentral.